GGUUCCGUAGCUCAGCAGGAUAGAGCAGCGGUUUCCUAAACCGAAGGUCAGGGGUUCGAAUCCCUUCGGGACCGCCA
Molecule: transfer RNA, 77 nt
Filed under: Lichenibacterium minor
Lineage: Bacteria; Pseudomonadati; Pseudomonadota; Alphaproteobacteria; Hyphomicrobiales; Lichenihabitantaceae
Description: bacterium RmlP026 tRNA-Arg
Rfam family: tRNA
About the family: Transfer RNA (tRNA) molecules are approximately 80 nucleotides in length.
Source: RNAcentral